This 1227-nucleotide ribosomal RNA is filed under the name Triticum aestivum (bread wheat). Its description in RNAcentral is "partial small subunit ribosomal RNA". The record is from RNAcentral. Lineage: Eukaryota; Viridiplantae; Streptophyta; Magnoliopsida; Poales; Poaceae.
AUGCCCCCUACUACCCUCCCGCAACCGCCCACCGCCGCCGCGGCCCUCGUCCGCCACUACAUCGGCCUCCUCUCAGCCGCCGGCGUCUCCUCCCUCCGCACCCUCCUCCCUAUCCACGCCCGCGCCGUCCUCCACGGCGUCGCCGCCAACCCAGCCUUCGCCACCAGGCUCCUCGCCGCGGCCGCCCCGCGCUCCCUCGCGUACGCCCGCAGGGUGUUCGACGCCGCGCCGCACCGCGAUGCCUACAUGUGGAACACCCUCCUCCGCGCCCACGCCCACUCCCACUCCUCCGUCCCGGCCAACUCCCCCGCUGCGGACGCGCUCCAGCUCUACAAGCGGAUGCGCGCCGCGGGCGUCGCACCGGACUGCUACACAUACCCGAUCGUGCUCCCGGCGUGCGCGGCGGCGCGCGCCCCGCGGCUCGGGCGGGCCGCGCACAGGGACGCGGUGAGGUUCGCGCUCGCCGGCGACGGCUUCGUGCACAGCGCGCUCAUCGCCAUGUACUGCCAGGAGGGGGAGGUGGCGGACGCGGAGCAGGUGUUCUUGGCAGCCGCCGCCGGUGCCCGCACGGUCGUCUCGUGGACGGCCAUGGUCGCGGGCUACGCGCAGAACUGCUUGUUCGGUCAGGCGGCUGCGGUGUUCGGCUCGAUGGUUGACCAGGGCGUGCUCCCAAAUGAGAUCACUCUGAUCAGUUUCCUGCCGUGUCUGCAGGGACAGGAAUGUCUCGCUGCCGGGGAGAUGGUUCAUGGGUUCGUGAUCAAGCUGGGGUUCGAUGCGAAUCUGCCGCUGGUGAACGCGCUCAUCGCCAUGUAUGGCAAGUGCGGGAGCAUCGCGUCGGCAAAAGAGUUGUUUGAUGGAAUGGCUGCGCGAACCGUGGUGUCCUGGAACACGAUGGUUGCCAUGUAUGAGCAGAAUGGCGAUGGGGUUCGGGCGAUCAAGUUCUUCCACAGGAUGCUUAGUGAGAAGGUGGGGUUUGACGCUGUCACUCUGGUCAGUGUGCUUUCAGCUUGCACACGCCAGGGAGCCCUUGAGACAGGGAAGUGGGUGCACGAGCUCGCUAGGAGUCAUGGGCUCGAGACUGAUGCGAGGAUCGGCAAUGUUCUUGUGGAUAUGUACGCAAAAUGUGGCGAGAUUGUUUACGCAAGACAGGCUUUUGAAGGUUUGCGCGAGCCUGGUGUUGUGUCAUGGAGCGCCAUGAUCAGUGCAUAUGCCAACCAUGUGGGAUGA